UGGCGGCACGCCUAACACAUGCAAGUCGAACGCAGUAGCAAUACUGAGUGGCAAACGGGUGAGUAUAAUGUGGGAAUCUGCCUUUUGGUUCGGAACAACACGGGGAAACCUGUGCUAAUACCGGAUAAGUCCUAACGGAGAAAGUUUUAAUGCCAAAAGAUGAGCCCGCACUUGAUUAGCUAGUUGGUGAGGUAAAAGCUCACCAAGGCGAUAAUCAAUAGCUGGUCUGAGAGGACGACCAGCCACACUGGAACUGAGACACGGUCCAGACUCC
RNAcentral lists this ribosomal RNA (274 nucleotides) under uncultured bacterium. RNAcentral's name for it is "partial 16S ribosomal RNA". It matches the Rfam family "Bacterial small subunit ribosomal RNA", at positions 37 to 339 of the family's 1533-position model. The record is from RNAcentral.